AGAGUUUGACUGUCCUGGCUCAGGAUGAACGCUGGCGGCGUGCCUAAUACAUGCAAGUCGAACGAGGCCCUCUUCCUUCGGGAGGAGGUGUCCUAGUGGCGAACGGGUGAGUAACACGUUGGUGACCUACCCCGAAGAGGGCGCGGACAACCCCGGGAAACUGGGGCUAAUACCCCAUGUGAUCCUAAGGACUAGAUGCCUAAGGAUGAAAUGGAGCAAUUCGCUUCGGGAGGGGCCUGCGGCCUAUCAGCUAGUUGGUGAGGUAAUGGCUCACACCCAAGGCGACGACGGGUAGGGGACCUGAGAGGGUGGUCCGCCUCACUGGGACUGAGACACUGCCCAGACUCCUACGGGAGGCUGCAGUCGCGAAUCAUUCGCAAUGCGCGCAAGCGUGACGAUGCGACGAGGCCGCGUGGGCGAUGAAGGCCUUCGGGUUGUAAAGCCCUGUCAGGGGUGAGGAAAGCUACGGGUCCACUCGUAGUUGACUUAAGCCCCAGAGGAAGUCACGGCUAACUCCGUGCCAGCAGCCGCGGUAAU
Molecule: ribosomal RNA, 537 nt
Filed under: uncultured bacterium
Lineage: Bacteria
Description: bacterial SSU rRNA
Rfam family: Bacterial small subunit ribosomal RNA
Source: RNAcentral